Molecule: non-coding RNA, 93 nt
Filed under: bovine gut metagenome
Description: THF riboswitch
Rfam family: THF (Tetrahydrofolate) riboswitch aptamer
About the family: THF riboswitch presents a pseudoknot that joins P1-P2 and the loop of P3 and two THF binding.
Source: RNAcentral
CAGAGUAGGUGCCGGAGCGUACAGUGUCCGCGGGACGGGGAGUUGCCCGCGGAACGAAGGUCCUUCCGCGAUUCCGGCGCCGCAUCCCGCUGU